Molecule: unclassified non-coding RNA, 253 nt
Filed under: Hevea brasiliensis (rubber tree)
Lineage: Eukaryota; Viridiplantae; Streptophyta; Magnoliopsida; Malpighiales; Euphorbiaceae
Source: RNAcentral
CGAAUGCCUGGCCAUAAGCGCCGCACUUGCCGAUCGCCAGCGCGCCGGCUGCGGAAGCCGGUGUUGCGACGAGAUGGGCGGCAAAAGCUGAAACCAAAGCAAAAACAAAAAAAGCGCGGCAACGCGCCGCCGUGANNNNGUGAAAGCCGUCAAAGUCCCCUCCCCAGAGGUCAUUCCGGGAAAGACAUUAGGCGGAAGGGCGUUUCAACUUGGUGAACAAGGUGGAAAGGAAAGAGGUAAACGCUAGCCGCGC